RNAcentral lists this ribosomal RNA (482 nucleotides) under uncultured bacterium. RNAcentral describes it as "partial 16S ribosomal RNA". It matches the Rfam family "Bacterial small subunit ribosomal RNA", at positions 30 to 507 of the family's 1533-position model. The record is from RNAcentral.
AUUGAACGCUGGCGGCAUGCCUUACACAUGCAAGUCGAACGGUAACGGGCCUUCGGGUGCCGACGAGUGGCGAACGGGUGAGUAAUACAUCGGAACGUGCCCGAUCGUGGGGGAUAACGAGGCGAAAGCUUUGCUAAUACCGCAUACGAUCUACGGAUGAAAGCAGGGGACCGCAAGGCCUUGCGCGGACGGAGCGGCCGAUGGCAGAUUAGGUAGUUGGUGGGAUAAAAGCUUACCAAGCCGACGAUCUGUAGCUGGUCUGAGAGGAUGAUCAGCCACACUGGGACUGAGACACGGCCCAGACUCCUAAGGGAGGCAGCAGUGGGGAAUUUUGGACAAUGGGCGCAAGCCUGAUCCAGCCAUGCCGCGUGCAGGAUGAAGGCCUUCGGGUUGUAAACUGCUUUUGUAUGGAACGAAAAGCCUUCUUUUAAUACAGGAGGGUCAUGACGGUACCGUAAGAAUAAGCACCGGCUAACUACGUG